AUGCCGAACACGUCUGUAUUGGCAGAUUCGCUGCAGGCCAUGACAACCCAUGGCGAGGCAAAACUGAAAGAUGUGAAGAACAUGAAUUGGUGUAUGUUCAUUGCCGACUUCCUGCAUGAUGCAUUCUCAAGCAAGAUGUACCAGAAGGGUUGUCGACUACAUUUAAUGCUCAUGUACGUCAAUUGUCUUGAUCUGUCCACUGUGGAUUUCACUGGGAUAGGAGGCCCACCACCUACGCACAAGUUUGUUGUUUCUGCAUGGACUAUCGAUGCUGUCAAGGCUGUGCUUGCUGCAGACAGGGUAACUGAUACCAAAUAUGGAAAACUGCAGCUGAUGGCCAAGCAUGUUAUAGACUAUAGCGUGUUUGGGGGGCCUCAGAACUUUGGAAAGUGGAUGGACGUGCACUCAGCUCCGUCUUGCCCUACUGAGGCGAGGGCACCUGUUGAGCAUCUAAUUGGGCAGUUUGCAUUCGGAAUGACCGGCUUGCUCGUGAAGUUGGUUCAGGGUUGGACGUCCCUUAACGGCUCUGACAGCGACACGGUCGCGAGGCAGUUCACUACAUUUGUCCCAGAACGGUCACAUCGGCCAACUGGUUGUCGUGGCCGGUAUGACUACAACAGUUCCCAAGAGCCUGCCGACACACAAGAUCAACUAUAUGGAGACGCUGGUCUCAACAAGGAGGACGAAAAUGACAUGGAGAACGUGCAAGACGACAACGAUGACGACGAACAUGGCGAAGUUCAUGCAGGUGGUAAGAAGGGCAAGGAUGCACCAGAUGUCCCCCCACCGGACAAAGUCAAAGAACAUACGGCUGCGAGAGGCGAGCGGGUGUUGCCCUCAAAGAGGGGGAGGGGUCGAGAGGAUGAUGGGCAGGGUUCCCCUAGCAAGAGGUCUAGGAGCGAUCCCGUAGCUGCUAGGAGGAGUGAGGUGAUAGCUGGUGGAUGA
RNAcentral lists this ribosomal RNA (945 nucleotides) under Triticum aestivum (bread wheat). RNAcentral describes it as "partial small subunit ribosomal RNA". The record is from RNAcentral. Lineage: Eukaryota; Viridiplantae; Streptophyta; Magnoliopsida; Poales; Poaceae.